ACACCCAAUUAUUAGCACGCGUGGUAAAUGAGUAAAAAGGUUUUGAAAACAUUAAUCUUUUGGUAAUUUCGUAAUUUCACACUGAAAAAGAUUAGAACAAUUGUUGAAGUAAAUCUAUUGAGAAAAAAGUAUUAUCAAGAAGUCGUUUAACAAAAUCAUGUGUGCCACAAUUAUUGGAUUUAAUACUUGCAUUUAAUAUUUUGUACAUCCUUUCUUUGCCAAAAAAUCAACAGUCUUCUCCUGUAACAUCUAUUGAGGUUGGAGAAAACAGAGCAAGGAAUGUGAGACUCAGAAAACUCAAACUCUUGUUCAUCCAGGGUCGUCUUUCAUGCACUCGUCUUCAACUCAGGCCACAGGUUUUCAAUGGGGCUUAGAUCAGGGGACUGAUCACCGUGGCAGACACUUGAUGUUGUUUUGGGGUAUGUUUGCUAUUCAAUGUAGCCUGACGUUGUCAUACUCAUAAUUCUAGUCAGAAUAUGAGUCUGAUACCGCUCCGUUGGGCUGUGAGUAUGGGGCGUGUUUCAACCGAACUCAGAAAAAAAUGCCUCUUCGCUCAAUUGUAUAGACCUACAACCAAUUAGAGCAACGUAGUAUGUUGUUUGUUGAAAACAAAUUCAACCCAAGCGCUCUUUGGUGACGUGGUUGAUUACGUUUCUGUUGAUCAUCUGUCCAUCAUCGUAUAAAGACCACCGUGACAAUUCGAUUGGUCCGAACAGCUCUUGUUCGGACAUAGUUUUUCCCCAACCGAGCGACCCCAGACCCAACUUCCUGACCAAAUUUGUUUGUGGGCGGGGCUAAGUUCGGCUGGCACCCA
Long non-coding RNA from Osmerus eperlanus (European smelt), 814 nucleotides. RefSeq lists it as uncharacterized. Lineage: Eukaryota; Metazoa; Chordata; Actinopteri; Osmeriformes; Osmeridae. The record is from RefSeq and is a predicted model, not a curated record. The transcript is spliced from 3 exons.